Long non-coding RNA from Notothenia coriiceps (black rockcod), 591 nucleotides. RefSeq lists it as uncharacterized. NCBI's taxonomy places the organism in Eukaryota, Metazoa, Chordata, Actinopteri, Perciformes, Nototheniidae. The record is from RefSeq and is a predicted model, not a curated record. The transcript is spliced from 3 exons.
GAAGGGGUGUGUGUGAGAUCAGUGGGCUGAAUUGGGCACCCCUACUGGUGGGGCACCUCAAUCUGCCCACUGAACUGGAACAAAUCAGGGGCUCAAGGAAAGGAGAGAGGGAAUCAAUGGAGCUGCCAGGGAGGACACAGGGGAAUAAACGCAACAAAUAUGCGUACCUAGAUGCGUCAUGAGGUGCCGGUACGCAGUAAGAAGUAACGGUACGCAGAUGGGUAAAAAUCAGAAGUCCCGGUACUGCGUACCGGCUCAGUGUUUCCAAACCGGUGAGAUCCACACUCCAAACAGGAGCAGUCUGCUCUCGUGUCCCCCGCUCUGGUCUCCGCAGGACGGGGGCGAUGAUGGAGAUUCAUCCUGGCAGGAGCUGCUCCUCUAUCUUCUGGCUCUUUGUGCUCCAUCAGAUCACGCCGCGUAUCACAAACUGGCUGACUCCCACAAUUCUGGUUCACUUGUCCAACUGCAAUUGCUCCUUUUUGGCAGAAAUAGUCUGCAUCCAUGUAAUGGGCUGGUAUGGAUCUAUUAUGAUGUGGAUUGGCGUGAAACAUUUGGUUUACUUUGACUUCAGGGAUUAAAGGUUGAAGGAAA